GUUGGCCUUUUGUGUACCCAAGACAGGUGAAGGAAGUCAACUUAGGAGGGCUGUGAUUGGAUGUAAGGGUACAAUAUAUUUUUUUAUUUAUCUAUGAAUAACUGCAGUGUGUAAAUUUACAAUAUAAAUUUUAAAACCUAUUGAAAUAUUUUCUAGAGAAUUAUUCGAAAAGGCUUUCAAAAUUUCAUAAAUUUGGUUCAAAAUGACGGUGGGCAUGGAUAACAUAAACAAGCUCUGUUGGAAAUUGGUCAUGAUACUAUUUGGCUUCAAUUUUUAAACUAGAUUAAUAAAGUACUAACA
Molecule: long non-coding RNA, 300 nt
Filed under: Mytilus galloprovincialis (Mediterranean mussel)
Lineage: Eukaryota; Metazoa; Mollusca; Bivalvia; Mytilida; Mytilidae
Source: RNAcentral